GCUUCAUAAAGCAUAGCAUUGUAUCUUUGCACCAUAAGCAAUUCCGCAUCUUUCUCCUUUUGAAUAGAUUCUAAUCGCAUCAGGUCUGUCUUCAAUGAAUUUGAGUGAUGCUUGUCGUGGGAUAUUUCUUCAUGUAUGGUUUUUAAUAUUUCAGAUAAACGAGCAGCUUCUUCAUGCAAUAAAUGUGAGUGCCUGUUUAGCUUUUGGUUGAUAGAACCAAUU
RNAcentral lists this unclassified non-coding RNA (222 nucleotides) under Hevea brasiliensis (rubber tree). Lineage: Eukaryota; Viridiplantae; Streptophyta; Magnoliopsida; Malpighiales; Euphorbiaceae. The record is from RNAcentral.